Molecule: ribosomal RNA, 492 nt
Filed under: uncultured bacterium
Lineage: Bacteria
Description: partial 16S ribosomal RNA
Rfam family: Bacterial small subunit ribosomal RNA
Source: RNAcentral
AGUGAACGCUGGCGGUAGGCCUAACACAUGCAAGUCGAACGGCAGCACAGUAAGAGCUUGCUCUUACGGGUGGCGAGUGGCGGACGGGUGAGGAAUACAUCGGAAUCUACUUUUUCGUGGGGGAUAACGUAGGGAAACUUACGCUAAUACCGCAUACGACCUACGGGUGAAAGCAGGGGAUCUUCGGACCUUGCGCGAUUGAAUGAGCCGAUGUCGGAUUAGCUAGUUGGCGGGGUAAAGGCCCACCAAGGCGACGAUCCGUAGCUGGUCUGAGAGGAUGAUCAGCCACACUGGAACUGAGACACGGUCCAGACUCCUACGGGAGGCAGCAGUGGGGAAUAUUGGACAAUGGGCGCAAGCCUGAUCCAGCCAUACCGCGUGAGUGAAGAAGGCCUUCGGGUUGUAAAGCCCUUUUGUUGGGAAAGAAAAGCAGCAGGUUAAUACCCCGCUGUUCUGACGGUACCCGAAGAAUAAGCACCGGCUAACUUCGUG